AUGGAAUUCCCAGGCUCGCCUAGGCAGAGCGGCCAGCCGUGGGGGCUGCCUUUUUCCUACUCCUGGCACGUGGUGGCUUGGGGCUGUUCGGCAAGAUGGCAGCAGCAGCGUCGGGGGCAGCACGCUCUUUUUGAAAACUCCAUCUGUGGUCAUAUCUAUCAGCAAUUAUUAAAUACACAGCAAGUGGGAAAUGGAGGCCUCCUGCAACUUCUCCAGACGUGAAACAAAUCAUUUGUUUGAUACUGGGACAAAGAUUGCUGAAGAUUUUUUGUUUAAAAAGUGGUAUUAUUUUUUUAAAAUGGAGCUAAGAAGAUGGACAUUUUUGCUGCUUUGGAAAAGACUUUGUGGAGUAUCCUUCAUGGUCCGUCAUAGUGACAGCCUCCCCAAUCAAUAGGCGGGGGUGGAAGGACAGGACAACACCUCCAGAGAUUUCAGCUAAGAAAUCUUUUUCAGCCUUGCCAUUUGGAGACAAAUGGUGCUGGGAGUUUAUACACAUCACUAAGCAAAGAUGGCAGAGGGGAACUAACAGGAAGUGAUAUAAAAUGAAAGCUGGCCUAACAGAUUUUGCUGCCAGGGGAAUAUAGGAAGCUGCCUUAUACUGAACUCUCAUCUACCUUGGGUGUUUAACUCCAUGAAAAUCUGUUCUGGAGCCUAAGAUCAGCAAUUCCCAAACUGUGUUAUGGAACUACAGGAGAAUAAAAUCGGAACCCCCAGUGGAUUAAACCUUUGUGCCGGCAGGACUGCUGUCUGACAGGUUGCCAAUUCGAAUCUGGAGAGAGCAGGUGAGCUCCCUCUGUCAGCUCCAGCUACUCAUGCAAGGACAUGAGAGAAGCCUCCCACAAGGAUUGUAAAACAUCAGAACAUCCAGGUGUCCCCUGGGCAACAUCCUUGCAGAUGGCCAAUUCUCUCACAUCAGAAGCAACUUGCGGUUUUCAAGUCACUCCUGACAUGGAAAAAAAGGAGAAUAACGUCCUCUGAACAGGUCCAUGACCAAAAUAAUUUGGAAAUUGCUGGAUUAGAUAGCCCAGGAGUGCAUCCACAUUGAGGGAAGUCCACAUUUCACUUCUCCUGUGUUGCCAGCCACUGCUGUUCUUGACCAGCCAUGGAGCUCCAUCCAAGCUCCUGGGCAUUGUAGGUACCUCUGCUGAGAUCAAAUAGGGGAGUCCACUGCUUCUUCCUGGUUGCACAACCACCCCUUUCUGACAUCUGCAGAUAGCAACACAGACAGGAUCCAUCCCAUUUCAUAGGUAAAGGGUGAUGGUGCCAGUACCUAAUAUGGACAGCAGAUUGGGCUGAAUUGGACCCAGUUGCACAGUCUGGAAUGCCCACAAGUUGCAGGAUACUCCUGUAGAGAAUCCCCUGAUUUUGCCCAAUGGGGGACAAGGCUGGAUUACAGUGCAAAUCCACUCCUAGGGUCGAUCCUUGGUGAAAUAAUUAACAAUUAUUCCGGAAAUGCCAACCACAGUUAUUUACAGAUUGUCAUCUUCACAAACUCGGGUGGAGUUUUUUAAAAUCCUCAGAAAAUGAUCACAUUCA
This 1536-nucleotide long non-coding RNA is filed under the name Anolis carolinensis (green anole). RNAcentral describes it as "lncRNA (ENSACAG00000040834.1)". The record is from RNAcentral. Lineage: Eukaryota; Metazoa; Chordata; Lepidosauria; Squamata; Anolidae.